Molecule: ribosomal RNA, 428 nt
Filed under: uncultured bacterium
Lineage: Bacteria
Description: bacterial SSU rRNA
Rfam family: Bacterial small subunit ribosomal RNA
Source: RNAcentral
UGGGGAAUUUUGCGCAAUGGGCGAAAGCCUGACGCAGCAACGCCGCGUGUGUGAUGAAGGUCUUCGGAUUGUAAAGCACUUUCGACCGGGACGAAAACCCGUAGCCUAACACGCUACGGCUUGACGGUACCGGGAGAAGAAGCACCGGCUAACUCUGUGCCAGCAGCCGCGGUAAUACAGAGGGUGCAAGCGUUGUUCGGAAUUAUUGGGCGUAAAGCGCGUGUAGGCGGCGUGACAAGUCGGGUGUGAAAGCCCUCAGCUCAACUGAGGAAGUGCGCCCGAAACUGUCGUGCUUGAGUGCCGGAGAGGGUGGCGGAAUUCCCCAAGUAGAGGUGAAAUUCGUAGAUAUGGGGAGGAACACCGGUGGCGAAGGCGGCCACCUGGACGGUAACUGACGCUGAGACGCGAAAGCGUGGGGAGCAAACAGG